Molecule: ribosomal RNA, 497 nt
Filed under: uncultured bacterium
Lineage: Bacteria
Description: partial 16S ribosomal RNA
Rfam family: Bacterial small subunit ribosomal RNA
Source: RNAcentral
GAUGAACGCUGGCGGCGUGCCUAAUACAUGCAAGUCGAGCGAACGGACGAGAAUCUUGCUUUUCUGAUGUUAGCGGCGGACGGGUGAGUAACACGUGGAUAACCCACCUAUAAGACUGGGAUAACUUCGGGAAACCGGAGCUAAUACCGGAUAAUAUUUUGAACCGCAUGGUUCAAAAGUGAAAGACGGUCUUGCUGUCACUUAUAGAUGGAUCCGCGCUGCAUUAGCUAGUUGGUAAGGUAACGGCUUACCAAGGCAACGAUGCAUAGCCGACCUGAGAGGGUGAUCGGCCACACUGGAACUGAGACACGGUCCAGACUACUACGGGAGGCAGCAGUAGGGAAUCUUCCGCAAUGGGCGAAAGCCUGACGGAGCAACGGCGCGUGAGUGAUGACGGUCUUCGGAUCGUAAAACUCUGUUAUUAGGGAAGAACAUAUGUGUAAGUAACUGUGCACAUCUUGACGGUACCUAAUCAGAAAGCCACGGCUAACUACGUG